UUAAUUGAAACCAAAAUAGAGGUAAAUUACUGUUAAUAAUUUAAUUGAAUUAAAUUUAAUUCCAAUUAAG
This 70-nucleotide transfer RNA is filed under the name Phylloecus linearis. RNAcentral describes it as "tRNA-Asn". Lineage: Eukaryota; Metazoa; Arthropoda; Insecta; Hymenoptera; Cephidae. The record is from RNAcentral.